GAUGAACGCUAGCGGCAGGCUUAACACAUGCAAGUCGAGGGGUAGAAGUCUUCGGACUUUGAGACCGGCGCACGGGUGCGUAACGCGUAUGCAAUCUGCCUUCCACAGAGGGAUAGCCCAGAGAAAUUUGGAUUAAUACCUCAUAGCAUUGAGAACCGGCAUCGGUUUUCAAUUAAAGUCACAACGGUGGAAGAUGAGCAUGCGUCCCAUUAGCUAGUUGGUAAGGUAACGGCUUACCAAGGCUACGAUGGGUAGGGGUCCUGAGAGGGAGAUCCCCCACACUGGUACUGAGACACGGACCAGACUCCUACGGGAGGCAGCAGUGAGGAAUAUUGGUCAAUGGGCGCAAGCCUGAACCAGCCAUGCCGCGUGCAGGAUGACGGUCCUAUGGAUUGUAAACUGCUUUUGUACGGGAAGAAACACUCCCUCGUGAGGGAGCUUGACGGUACCGUAAGAAUAAGGAUCGGCUAACUCCGUG
This 478-nucleotide ribosomal RNA is filed under the name uncultured organism. Its description in RNAcentral is "bacterial SSU rRNA". It matches the Rfam family "Bacterial small subunit ribosomal RNA", at positions 28 to 507 of the family's 1533-position model. The record is from RNAcentral.